RNAcentral lists this ribosomal RNA (253 nucleotides) under uncultured bacterium. RNAcentral describes it as "partial 16S ribosomal RNA". It matches the Rfam family "Bacterial small subunit ribosomal RNA", at positions 524 to 776 of the family's 1533-position model. The record is from RNAcentral.
GACAGAGGUGCCAAGCGUUAGGCGGAAUCACUGGGCGUAAAGGGUGCGUAGGCGGGUCUUUAAGUCAGGGGUGAAAUCCUGGAGCUCAACUCCAGAACUGCCUUUGAUACUGAAGAUCUUGAGUUCGGGAGAGGUAAGUGGAACUGCGAGUGUAGAGGUGAAAUUCGUAGAUAUUCGCAAGAACACCAGUGGCGAAGGCGGCUCACUGGCCCGAUACUGACGCUGAUGCACGAAAGCGUGGGGAGCAAACAGG